UGCGAUGAGUCGAGAAAAAUCAGGCAAUCUUUUGAUUGUUUCGCUGCGGCGACAAGUGAUUAUUUUUCAUAGACAGAGUACGAAUAUCACCGGAUUGUGAUGUACUUGCUUAGUGUAGAUGUGAACUGC
RNAcentral lists this non-coding RNA (129 nucleotides) under Ligilactobacillus hayakitensis DSM 18933 = JCM 14209. Its description in RNAcentral is "Lactobacillus hayakitensis DSM 18933 = JCM 14209 Enterococcus sRNA 68 (Lacto-3 RNA)". It matches the Rfam family "Enterococcus sRNA 68 (Lacto-3 RNA)". From Rfam's summary of the family: Name 'Ref' stands for RNA in E. faecalis. Lineage: Bacteria; Bacillati; Bacillota; Bacilli; Lactobacillales; Lactobacillaceae. The record is from Rfam by way of RNAcentral.